UGGGGAAUCUUGCGCAAUGGGCGAAAGCCUGACGCAGCCAUGCCGCGUGAAUGAUGAAGGUCUUAGGAUUGUAAAAUUCUUUCACCGGGGACGAUAAUGACGGUACCCGGAGAAGAAGCCCCGGCUAACUUCGUGCCAGCAGCCGCGGUAAUACGAAGGGGGCUAGCGUUGCUCGGAAUUACUGGGCGUAAAGGGAGCGUAGGCGGACUGUUAAGUUAGAGGUGAAAGCCCAGGGCUCAACCUUGGAAUUGCCUUUAAUACUGGCAGUCUUGAGUGCGGAAGAGGUAUGUGGAACUCCGAGUGUAGAGGUGAAAUUCGUAGAUAUUCGGAAGAACACCAGUGGCGAAGGCGACAUACUGGUCCGUUACUGACGCUGAGGCUCGAAAGCGUGGGGAGCAAACAGG
RNAcentral lists this ribosomal RNA (404 nucleotides) under Actinomycetes bacterium. RNAcentral's name for it is "Actinobacteria bacterium partial 16S ribosomal RNA". It matches the Rfam family "Bacterial small subunit ribosomal RNA", at positions 355 to 776 of the family's 1533-position model. The record is from RNAcentral. Lineage: Bacteria; Bacillati; Actinomycetota; Actinomycetes.